This 354-nucleotide small nuclear RNA is filed under the name Microcebus murinus (gray mouse lemur). RNAcentral describes it as "7SK RNA (ENSMICG00000035991.2)". It matches the Rfam family "7SK RNA". Rfam says of the family: 7SK was discovered as an abundant small nuclear RNA in the mid-70s but a possible function has only recently been suggested. Two independent studies have found that 7SK RNA binds the CDK9/cyclin T complex (known as elongation factor P-TEFb). Lineage: Eukaryota; Metazoa; Chordata; Mammalia; Primates; Cheirogaleidae. The record is from RNAcentral.
GGUGAUCUAUCUGGCUGCAACAUCUAUCACCCCAUUGAUUGCCAGGGUUGAUUCAGCAGAUCUGGCCGGCUAGGCGGGUGUCCCCUUCCUCUCUCACCACUCCAUGUGCGUCCCUCCCAAAACUGCGUGCUCAGUCCAAGAGGAUGACCUUCUCUGCUAGAGGAGGACUGGUCUUUGGUUUGGUCAAGGGUAUAUGAGUAACUGCACUCCCCUGCUAGAACCUCCAAACAAGCUCUCAAGGUCCACAGCCAGUUAUUGUUCUUUCUCCAUUUCUAUUGCUUCACUUGACCAGGAGAAAAAAAAAGAAAGAAAAAGAUUGGUCAGCCUCAGGAGAGCUGGAGCUUUCCCUGUGGC